AUCAGUCAGGAGAUCAAACUGACUUAAUGAGACCAUCUAGGGCUUUGAAGCAGCAGUUACUGAUUGACUCUGAUGCACACUGCUCCAGGUCGAAAGAGGUUAAGGAGUUCUCUUUUUGUAUCAAACUGACAACAGCAGAAAUGAUGUAAGGAAAGCUCCUAUGGUCUGAUCAUUGAGAACCCCACAUAUGGCGCCAGGUUGGGCAAUGUUUUCACUUCUGUUGCUGCUUUCCCACACUGAAACCUUGGACAAGAAAACUGACAAAAUAAGGCAUGGCCAAAUGCUUCAAAGCUACGAAGUUCUUUUCCCCUCUGAAGUGCCCAUGACCAGAGUCACCACUCAGAACACAGUGUUCUCCCAACUUCCCUCAGACCUAAGGACAAGAUUCCAAGGAAAGCCACCACACAUGGCUCUGAGACUACAAAAUGAGGAAAGUGAAGCAAACAAGAUUAAGUGACUUGCCCAGGAUCAAACUGUAGUUGAGGUGGAACCUCCUCUUUCCCUUGUUUGUCUUUGCUUCAGACAAAGAUGUGGAUUAGCCUUUACUCAUCCCGGGACCAAGGUUGGAACAGUAAACAUGAAGGAAGCAGGAUAACAUUUAUGAAAAGCAAAUUGUGAUAAGGUGGGCGCCUCUUCUCCUUGUUUGCCCCUCUUCCCCUUGUUUGGAUUUUCAUUAGACGAAGAUGUGGAGUAACCUUUGAACACCUGCCUAUCCCUGGACCAAGGUUAGAGUUUCUGGAAUGUAAAGUCAUAAAUUCCUG
Molecule: long non-coding RNA, 761 nt
Filed under: Monodelphis domestica (gray short-tailed opossum)
Lineage: Eukaryota; Metazoa; Chordata; Mammalia; Didelphimorphia; Didelphidae
Description: lncRNA (ENSMODG00000033030.2)
Source: RNAcentral